GACGAACGCUGGCGGCGUGCCUAACACAUGCAAGUCGAACGGAAAACAUAGCAAUAUGUUUUUAGUGGCGAACGGGUGAGUAACGCGUAGACAACCAACCUUUUUGUGGGGGACAACACUUCGAAAGGAGUGCUAAUACCGCAUACGCUCCAGAUGCCGCCUGGUGUUUGGAGGAAAGGAGCUUUACGGCUUCGCAAAAAGACGGGUCUGCGUCUGAUUAGCUAGUUGGAGGGGUAACGGCCCACCAAGGCGACGAUCAGUAGCCGGUCUGAGAGGAUGGACGGCCACACUGGGACUGAAACACGGCCCAGCCUCCUGCGGGAGGCAGCAGUGGGGAAUCUUCCGCAGUGGGCGAAAGUCUGACGGAGCGAGGCCGCGUGAGUGAUGAAGGCCCUUGGGUCGUAAAGCUCUGUCAUCAGCGACGAACGGUCACGUCAGGAAAUGGGCGUGAAUUGACGGUACCUGAGAAGGAAGCCACGGCUAACUACGUGCCAGCCGCCGCGGUA
Molecule: ribosomal RNA, 506 nt
Filed under: uncultured bacterium
Lineage: Bacteria
Description: partial 16S ribosomal RNA
Rfam family: Bacterial small subunit ribosomal RNA
Source: RNAcentral